ACCGGCGAGGCCAUGAUCAAAACCCCACAAGCUUUAUGAGCUUUGACAUUGAAAAGGUUGCGAGUAGCAGCUAAGCUCCAAGAACUGGCGCGGUUCUGGGCUUUCAGCUCUGACCUUGCCACAGGUUGGUCCUCAGCUGGAAACUGAAAGAAACUGCAUGGCCCUUGCACUACGCUACGCCCAUUGCUUCAGCUUCAGCACCGUGAAACCUCAGGCCAGUCUGAGCGAUGUGCAAACAGCAGAUGCCAAACUCUGCUGACCAAACUUCCAGCAGCUUGAUCUCAGCAUAGCAGACUGGAAAAUCAGAGCCCUGCAGUCAGUUUAGUUCAACACUGUGGCAAGCAUUUGCUGUUUGUCUUUUGUCCCAUGGAGCUUUCUCGAGCCUGCAGACUGCAGUUUAGGUUCUCCAGUAUCUUGACCAAAGAGCAGUGGUUUUGCUCAGCUGUAACCGGCUGGAUAAAAUUCUGAAGCAUCGUGCGAGCUGACAGCACUUGCAUCGUCGCUGUAGGCGAAGGCGAGGGAUCAUCUUCAGCGGCAGCAAAGGUGUUCUGAAAUGGGUUGGCGACUCGUCCAUCCCACGCCAUCAGUCGUCUGCACAGCAAGUCAGCAAGGCCCGCGAUGGCAACGACUUUGUGCUGCCCGCUCUGUAGCCAGAGGUCCAGAACUGCUAGCUGCAGCUUGAUGAGCAAAACUGUUGAAGAAACAAAACUACUGCAGCUUGGCCCCU
Molecule: long non-coding RNA, 727 nt
Organism: Panicum virgatum (switchgrass)
Lineage: Eukaryota; Viridiplantae; Streptophyta; Magnoliopsida; Poales; Poaceae
Exons: 2
Source: RefSeq, a predicted model, not a curated record